Anoplopoma fimbria (sablefish) is the source of this 1017-nucleotide long non-coding RNA. RefSeq lists it as uncharacterized. NCBI's taxonomy places the organism in Eukaryota, Metazoa, Chordata, Actinopteri, Perciformes, Anoplopomatidae. The transcript is spliced from 3 exons. The record is from RefSeq and is a predicted model, not a curated record.
GACAUGGGAUCAGAUCACACUGACAGACUGGACAUUAUUGAAGCCUCAAUACUUUCUGGCUGUGGACUCUCAGAGACUCACUGUGAAGUCGUGGCCUCAGCUCUGAAGUCCAACCCCUCCCAUCUGAGAGAGCUCGACCUGAGUAACAACAACCUGCUGGAUUCAGGAGUGAACCUGCUGUCUGCUGGACUGGAGAGUCCACACUGUAGACUGGAGACUCUGAGACUGAGUGGCUGUAACCUCUCAGAGAGAAGCUGUGAAGCUCUGUCCUCAGUCCUCAGCUCCCAGUCCUCUAGUCUGAGAGAGCUGGACCUGAGUAACAACAACCUGCAGGAUUCAGGAGUGAAGCUGCUGUCUGAUGGACUCGAGAGUCCACACUGUAAACUGGAAACUCUCAGGUCAGAUCAAGUUAGUUUGUCUUCAAUGAUGUAAAUGUGUCUCUAAACUAUCAGCUCCAUGCAGUGUAAACAGCCUCUCUCUUUCUGAAUCUUUGAAUUAGUUCAUCAGGAUUUCAGAUUUCAUAAACCUCUUUUUCACCAGGAAAUGAACCAGAACUAUGGAACCAGAGGAACUAAUCUCAGAGACUAAACUAGAGUCCAAAAGUCCUUUUUGUGAAUUCCUGUUUGUUUUUCCAUCCCAUCUUAAGAACCUUGUAGAACAGACAAACUUGAUCCACAGCGGAUUAAAAAAUGAUGGUGGAGUUUGAAACAUAAUUCACAUUCACAAUAAAACAUCACAGGCUCAUCCUGUUGUUGCUCUUAUUUAUGCUUUAUGAUGUUAUGUUUGAUAUAAUUAAUGAAUGAAAAGGAGAAAUGCAGAGGUGGAAAGAGACUGAAAACAUGAAUGUCUGUCUCUACAGUGACGAUCUGCUGAGAGUUUGAUGGUUGUUUAUUUCUGCUUUAGAACGUAACCGACAUGAAAUCAGUAUAUGAAGUUUAAUUUGUGUUUUUCACUCACUUUGUGCGCUCUCUCUCUCUCAUUAGCUCACUCGUCCCCUCUGCUGGUCACAACUCCUUG